GCUCUUGUUGUCCAGGCUGGAGUGUGGUCUCGGAUCAUUGCAACCCCUCCACCUCCCGAGUUCAAGUGAUUCUCCUGCCUCAGCCUCCUGAGUAGCUGGGAUCAGAGGCGUGCACACCACCACGCCUGGCUGAUUUUUGUAUUUUUAGUAGAGACGGGGUUUCACCAUGUUGACCAUGCUGAUCUCAAACUCCUGACCUUAGGCAAUCCACCCACCUUGGCCUCCUAAAGUGCUGGGAUUACAGGCAUGAGCCACCAUGCCAGGCCAAGAACGUAAUCUUUUAAAGUGUAAAACAAUUCCUGACCAUC
Long non-coding RNA from Sapajus apella (tufted capuchin), 308 nucleotides. RefSeq lists it as uncharacterized. The record is from RefSeq and is a predicted model, not a curated record. The transcript is spliced from 3 exons. NCBI's taxonomy places the organism in Eukaryota, Metazoa, Chordata, Mammalia, Primates, Cebidae.